Molecule: non-coding RNA, 827 nt
Filed under: Drosophila virilis
Lineage: Eukaryota; Metazoa; Arthropoda; Insecta; Diptera; Drosophilidae
Description: Eukaryotic large subunit ribosomal RNA
Rfam family: Eukaryotic large subunit ribosomal RNA
Source: Rfam by way of RNAcentral
CAACCUCAACUCAUAUGGGACUACCCCCUGAAUUUAAGCAUAUUAAUUAGGGGAGGAAAAGAAACUAACAAGGAUUUUCUUAGUAGCGGCGAGCGAAAAGAAAUCAGUUCAGCACUAAGUCACUUUGUCUAUAUGGCAAAUGUGAGAUGCAGUGUACGGAACAUCAACAUUCUAGUAUGAGAAGUUAACGAUUUAAGUCCUUCUUAAAUGAGGCCAUUUACCCAUAGAGGGUGCCAGGCCCGUAUAACGUUAAUGAUUACUAGAUGGUGUUUCCAAAGAGUCGUGUUGCUUGAUAGUGCAGCACUAAGUGGGUGGUAAACUCCAUCUAAAACUAAAUAUAACCAUGAGACCGAUAGUAAACAAGUACCGUGAGGGAAAGUUGAAAAGAACUCUGAAUAGAUAGUUAAAUACUACGUGAAACUGCUUAGAGGUUAAGCCCGAUGAACCUGAAUAUCCGUUAUGGAAAAUUCAUCAUUAGAAUUGCAAUAUUUUAAACAAUAUUAUAAUAAUAGUGUGCAUUUUUUCCAUAUAAGGACAUUGUAAAUCUAUUGGCAUAAAUAUUUACCAACAAUUAUGUCUGAAUUGCUUAUUAGAAUUAUACGCCUGGCAUUUUAACAUAAAAAUAAAAGAUUUUAAUUUGAUAUUUGCCUGAUAGAUGUAUAUUGACUACAGUGCGUUCAAUUUUUCGGAAUUAUCAUAGUGGCAUAAUUAUCACUCGAGAUUUGAGUUUAUUACAACGCAUUUAGUACCGAUUAACAAUGCCAAACGGAGUCAGGAUCCCUUCCGGGAACUCCGUCUUGGAAACUUCGGACCAAAGAAAUUCUUAA